RNAcentral lists this ribosomal RNA (484 nucleotides) under uncultured bacterium. Its description in RNAcentral is "bacterial SSU rRNA". It matches the Rfam family "Bacterial small subunit ribosomal RNA", at positions 32 to 524 of the family's 1533-position model. The record is from RNAcentral.
AAUCAACGCUGGCGGCGUGCCUCAGACAUGCAAGUCGAACGAUUAAAGCUCUCUUCGGAGAGUGCAUAGAGUGGCGCACGGGUGAGUAACACGUAAGUAAUCUACCUUCGAGUGGGGAAUAACAUCGGGAAACCGAUGCUAAUACCGCAUAAUGCAGCGGCAUCGCAAGAUGACAGUUGUUAAAGGAGCAAUUCGCUUGAAGAGGAGCUUGCGGCAGAUUAGCUAGUUGGUAAGGUAACGGCUUACCAAGGCUACGAUCUGUAUCCGGUCUAAGAGGACGGUCGGACACACUGACACUGAAUAACGGGUCAGACUCCUACGGGAGGCAGCAGUCGGGAAUUUUGGGCAAUGGGCGAAAGCCUGACCCAGCAACGCCGCGUGAAGGAUGAAGUAUUUCGGUAUGUAAACUUCGAAAGAAUAGGAAGAAUAAAUGACGGUACUAUUUAUAAGGUCCGGCUAACUACGUGCCAGCAGCCGCCGUAAU